RNAcentral lists this long non-coding RNA (297 nucleotides) under Fukomys damarensis (Damara mole-rat). RNAcentral's name for it is "lncRNA (ENSFDAG00000028027.1)". Lineage: Eukaryota; Metazoa; Chordata; Mammalia; Rodentia; Bathyergidae. The record is from RNAcentral.
CAUUCAGUCAUCAGCGUUCCUUUCUGAGCUUUGGAAUGCUUUUCUAGGAAUCAUCAAGCCUAGGAAGACUGUGCAGACAGUGAAGACCUGUGGCCCCAUGGUCAGAACUCUGGGAGUCCGUGAAAAUCAGCUGAGCCAGGUUCAUGAUUCAUGAUUCAGGACCCGCUCCCUUUGUCAUUCUGCAUGAGGAAAUGCUUCACAAGGCAAGUCUUAGGCAAGCAGCCACCAUCAACAUGGUAAGCAUAUUGAUCAAUUCCCUUUCUGGGAUCUCUUAGAAGAUUUUGUUUUUCAACAAAA